CUCAUGCCCAGUGGAGAAGAGAAUCUCUGGUGGGAGAGAAAUUUGAUAGAUGAUGUAGCUUUUGCUCCUCUCUUGUGCCAGGCCCUGGGAGAGAAACAUACGGGGAGGUUAUUAGUCUACUACUACUACUACUAAGCUGCUUCAGUCGUGUCUGACUCUGUGCGACCCCAUAGACAGCAGCUCACCAGGCUCUGCCAUCCCUGGGAUUCUCCAGGCAAGAACACUGGAGUGGGUUGCUAUUUCCUUCUCCAAUGCAUGAAAGUGAAAAGUGAAAGUGAAGUCGCUCAUUCGUGUCCAACUCUUCUCGACCCCAUGGACUGCAGCCUACCAGGCUUCCCCGUACAUGGGAUUUUCCAGGGAGCAGAGGUCAUUCUAACAGCCUGCCUUCAGUGGAAGGAAAGAACUUUGUGCUUGAAGUGAGGAGUCCUGAGUCCUAAUUCCAGUGGAGUUUUCCAUGUAUGAUUCAUCCUUGAACUUCCCACCAUAUGGCUGGCAUAUAAGAUGUGUCCACUAAUGUGUGACUGAAUGGAUAACAAGCGAUUCAUGGACUUUGUGCAUAUGCCUCUCUGGGUCUCAGUUUCUCCUGCUGGAAAAUCAAAAUGCUGUGGGAGCCCUUCUAGGGAAGAAGAGCCAGAAACGUGCUUUGAAACAUGGGAAGGGAACCACCCAUUGCUCAAGAAGGUGUGUUGGUUCUCCUGGAAUCCCCAACCAGGCUCCUCUCAGAAGGAGCAAAAUGAUUAUUUACCUGCAUCUAUAUGGUUCUGAAGCUAUGAUACUUUGUAUUGGCCACCUGAUGCAAAGAGCUUGCUCAUUAGAAAAGACCCUGAUGCUGGGAAAGAUUGAAGGCAGGACGAGAAGGGGACGACAAAGGAUGAGAUGGUUGGAUGGCAUCACCAACUAGAUAGACAUGAACUUGAGCACACUCUGGGAGUUGGUAAUGGACAGGGAAGCCUGGAAUGCUGCAGUCCAUGAGGUCACAGAGUCAGACACGAAUGAAUGAAAGAACUGAACUGAUACGGUUUUGAAAAAACAGAUACUAAUUAUUAAUUCACUGGGGAAAAUUUGACAUCUCACAUUAACUUUUUUGGGUUUAAGAGUUAAAAACUGAUUUUCAAAAGGUUAACUUAUGAAAACCUCAGCCCAUACACACUUGCUCAGUUAGCCUUUGUAAGGUUCCGUCAGAUGGCACUAGGUCCACUGGCCAUCAGUGGAGGUAGGCGUGGAAGAAAGGAGUUUUGGACCUUGAAUGUAGGGAUCCAGAGGGCACUGAGCAGGUAGACUUUCAGAGAAGUGGACCAAAGCACCUGCUUCACCACCGUCUUAGCCCUGGAGGUAGACAACCCUCGCCCAAAUUCUCAGUGCUUCUGUUUCAUUCCACACUUCCCUGUUUAUUUAAUUUCACUGGCUUUUAGUCAGAAAUUGACUGUGUAAAAUAUUUGGCAUAGAAAGUAAAGUGAAACACUGAAAAUCCAAGGCAACAGGAUAUAAACAGUGAACACAAUAUCCUUGGCCAGUGACUUCUUGUUUCCUCUCCUUAGCAGUGCUGUGGAUUCUCAGCACACUCUGAGAGACCUGAGUGAGCCCUGCUUGUGGUCUGUGAACCUUAUAGGACUCACAGUCCUCUAUUUGCAGGAUCCUUGUUACCAAGGAAAUGGAAACUGGGCCAAAAAUAGAAAUGAUGCCCAUUUGCAAAAUCCUAAAGGAAACAUAGAAACUGGCAACAAUGGGCAAGCCACUCUUGUGGGUUCUUAUUUCUCAGAUAAACAUGCCUUAAUUUAAGAAUCACCCUUGUUAUAAUAUUAAUUCCUUCUAUUCAAUUUUCAAAUUUACAUAAACAUUACUUAAAACUGAUUAGGCAAGGCUUAGAAGAAACAAUUAUUUUCCAUCUAAUUAAACAGCAAAAAUGCCAGGCUAAUUAUUAAACAAAUUAAUGGAAAUGUCAGAGGAUUUAUAUUGCAAAUUUAAUCCAUUUGAAUAUCUCCUCUUUAAGAGCUCAUUUUGUACAAACAUCCAUAAAAUUUUUUCCUUUGGAGAAAUGCUGUCCUUUCCUUUCUGUGGAAUCCAUUGUUUCAAGUCUGGUGGGAAGGUCCCAGGGAAGCAAGAGUUACAGAGAGACUGCCCAUUUUCUUAUUUUCCAG
Bos taurus (domestic cattle) is the source of this 2138-nucleotide long non-coding RNA. NCBI's taxonomy places the organism in Eukaryota, Metazoa, Chordata, Mammalia, Artiodactyla, Bovidae. The record is from Ensembl.